UACGGAGGGGGCUAGUGUUGUUCGGAAUUACUGGGCGUAAAGGGCGCGCAGGCGGCUUGGCAAGUCGAGUGUGAAAUCCCUUGGCUUAACUAAGGAAUGGCGCUCGAAACUACCUCGCUAGAGGACGGGAGAGGGAAGUGGAACUCUCGGUGUAGGGGUGAAAUGCGUAGAUAUCGGAAGGGACAUCAGUGGCGAAAGCGGCUUCCUGGUCCAGCACCGACGUUCAGGCACGAAAGCGUGGGGAGCAAACAGG
This 253-nucleotide ribosomal RNA is filed under the name uncultured bacterium. Its description in RNAcentral is "partial 16S ribosomal RNA". It matches the Rfam family "Bacterial small subunit ribosomal RNA", at positions 524 to 776 of the family's 1533-position model. The record is from RNAcentral.